CCUUAUCUGUCUGGGGGCUGUGAGGUCCACGGAAUGACGCUGUAGCUGCCAUGGGACUGAAUGACUGACAGCCUGCUGUGAUUUAGGAAUGGCUGAUAAUAGUGGCAGAGACACCACUGCACAUAUGUUCUCAAGAGAAACAGUAAGAGGCCGGAGAUGUAGCUCAGUGGUUCCGCCACCUGCCUCGCAAGCACAAGGUCCCAGGCUCGAUUCCCGGUACCAAAAAAAAAAAGAAAAACAGUAAGAGGGCUUCAAGGAAGAGGACUGAACAGCACUCAUCACACACAGCUCAUCUUAAAUUCACCAGCUAAUUGGAGUGACUGACUGACUGCUAAUGAUCCUUACCCAGAGGAAAAUAUUGAAGUCGGAACCCGGGGGCACACAUGCUAAGUAGGCAUCCUACCACUGAGUUACAUCCCCAGGCUUUUUAUUUUUGCUUUCAGACAGGAUC
This 451-nucleotide long non-coding RNA is filed under the name Heterocephalus glaber (naked mole-rat). RNAcentral describes it as "lncRNA (ENSHGLG00100048715.1)". The record is from RNAcentral. Lineage: Eukaryota; Metazoa; Chordata; Mammalia; Rodentia; Bathyergidae.